GGACCCGUAGCUCAGCCAGGAUAGAGCGCCGGCCUCCUAAGCGGAGGCAAGAGUGAGCCGAGGGUCGGGGGUCCGAAUCCCCCCGGGUCCG
RNAcentral lists this transfer RNA (91 nucleotides) under Metallosphaera sedula. RNAcentral describes it as "tRNA-Arg". It matches the Rfam family "tRNA". Rfam says of the family: Transfer RNA (tRNA) molecules are approximately 80 nucleotides in length. Their secondary structure includes four short double-helical elements and three loops (D, anti-codon, and T loops). The record is from RNAcentral. Lineage: Archaea; Thermoproteati; Thermoproteota; Thermoprotei; Sulfolobales; Sulfolobaceae. RNAcentral also lists the same sequence under 1 other name.